ACCAUCUCCUGUAAUCACGCACCCCAGUUACACUUCAAAAGGAAAAUCACUCAUCCCCGCAGUCCCUCCCAGCCGCCGCCGUGCCACCCAGGGUUCAGGCAGGAGCCGCCGCGCCCCCGGCCUUGUGCCGCCCGCAGCAUGCCGCGCCGCCGUGCCACGAGGGAGCAGGAGGCCCCGUGACCUCGGAAUCCUGCCUGCCAUGCUGCGCGCCGCGUCGCCGAGGGAGCAGGAGCCGCCGCCGCCGCCCUUCAUCACGUCCUCCGCCUCCCUCACUCCGUCGCCGCGAGCUACCUCACCCGCCAGAUCCACUCGAUCUAGACAAGCCGCUACCACAUCUUGCUCAAGGGAACUGGACUGCGUGUAAUCCUCCUCUGCCACGCCCCACUCCUCACAUGGCGUUCACUGCCUAGAUGCGACCACCGCCGAUCCACUCCAUGCGCGGACGCGCCAACCUUAACACCAUCUCCAUCCACUUGACGACGUACUCAUCGCAUGGGCGCCCACCACGAUCUGGAUGUCACACCACCUCAGGUUAUUAUGUUCAUCAAGCAUUUUCAGGUUUGAUCUGAGCGUAUCUGGAGGUGUGCUAAAGACUGAAGCAUCACCACCGUUGUUUCCUCGUGCACCGCAGGCGCUCAUCGACAUGCAAUCUUUUUUUUUGCUGGGGACCCAGAAUCUGGAGCUCGCGUGUACGUUAUUUUUCUCAAUGAGAACCAUGUUGAAUUAGAUUACUUGAAAUCUUGGUUUUGGCCAUGUACGUGCAGUUCCACCGGUUGUUUAUAAAUAGAAAACUGAGGUGGGUUGUGAUUUCUGAAUCUGGUGAGGGAAUUAGCAAAACUUCAGAGGAAGUAGGAGACUGUGUUUUAAGUAUACAGCCAUCAACCUGAUCGAUAUGUUCCUCCUUGCAUUUUCGGUUAAACAUUGUCAAGCACUGUAAGCAGAAAUAAUUAUUUGAUAGAAAAUGUUCAUUAUACAGAAAGUAGCAGAUGAUGUUUUAACCUUACUAUUGGGGCAUAUGAAACAUAAAUUAUCUGAAAAGUGCUACCUGGCAGUGUUCAAGAACAGUUAGCAAAGGACGUACAACUUUCAGAUUCCAUUUCAGAGAAACAGGCAUAAUUUUUUUUCAGAGUGCAAGCUUUAUCCUGCAGAUGCCUAAAUACAAUCAAUUUACCCCCUGUAAGUGCAUCCAAUUUGAUGUUCUUGUCAGUUGUAUUAUUUAGUGGGUGCGGGCUUCUAGCACCAAUAUAGUUCCUUAAAUGGUGAUCUAUCUUGCCGUCUUGUGACCCCCAGUUGAUAAGCAAUGUCAAGAACCACCACUAUUUCACUGAGUCAAAUUAUCAUUUUGUAGGUCUUAGAAGAACUAGAGUUGAAGAUUUCUGAGUAUACCAAAAGAUGUCAAAUCAACAACAUAUGGUUGAGGAGGUAGCCUCAAAGGUACAAAUUCAUCACUGGAUCCUACUUCCGUAUUCAUACACUUCUAUCUGAAAUUCCCAUGAAUCUCAAGUUAGUUAGUUUGUUCACUAUAUAUUGCAGUAUACUAUUCGACCAGAUUGAGAUUGCAAAAUGGAGGCGUUGAUUCGUUUGGUUUGACUCAUCUUCAUUGGGAAUGACUUGACUGAUCUGAAACUUUUUUUUUGGUCUAACAAAUAUCACAAAUGUUCUCCAGUCAGCCACCUCACAUGCCUUUGACUCCCUGCAAUCGAGACCCCAAGACACUGGUAUCUCAAUCCCCAUAAGUUGAUCCACCCACUUCUUCCCCCUGAUAGAUUAACCUACUAUCUUGUCGAUUUGGUUAUCUGUUUUGAGCAUAUGUAACAUGUUCUGCAGGGCAUUCAGUUUUGAUUUUUAUUUGCAAGUAUUCAGUUUUUGAUUGUAAUUUGUGGGGUUAAUUUCUUGCUGUGAAGAACUGAUAUUCUUGUGAGGAGGAUUAAGUUCUUAGCUUGCAAGGGCUCAGUUUAUGUAUUGCUGCUCCUGGAUAGGGCAAAUCAAGCAUUUGAAUGAUGAGAAAGUGUCUUUAAUAAUUUCGAAUGGUGAUUUGAUUUUCCUCUGAAUGUUUUUUACUUUUGUCAGGCAAGCCUGAUUAUAUGGAAGCACAUGGUUAAUGCUCUAUUGCGGUAUAUGCAUGCAAGGCACUGCUUGGACUUUGGAUUGGCUUGCAUUUAUGGGCAUGUUUUAAAUAGGGAAGAAACCUUUGACAUGGUGCAGGUGGGCAUGUCCGUGGGCACGACAAUAGUUGAAAAAGGAAUGUUCAGGGGUUGUGCAUUAGCUACACUACAAUCAAGUUCAUGCUCCUCCAGAGCUGGCUUCUGGAUACCGUGUGAAGCGCGUUCAAGAUUAGAUAGUGAUUUAUGGUAUCUCCUAUUUUCGUCAGGAAAUGCGCUAUUGUUACCACAGCCGCGCCAGUAUCAAGGUGAUGCACCUUAUGUGUCAAAUGCUUUUAUAUGUCCAGUAUGUAUCGGACAAAACUCUACCAAGAUGAAGGCAUUGCCUUUAGGAGCACUAUGUCCAAUGCAUAUAUAUAUAUAUAUAUAUAU
Molecule: long non-coding RNA, 2534 nt
Organism: Triticum dicoccoides
Lineage: Eukaryota; Viridiplantae; Streptophyta; Magnoliopsida; Poales; Poaceae
Exons: 3
Source: RefSeq, a predicted model, not a curated record